This 269-nucleotide ribosomal RNA is filed under the name uncultured prokaryote. RNAcentral describes it as "partial 16S ribosomal RNA". It matches the Rfam family "Bacterial small subunit ribosomal RNA", at positions 524 to 792 of the family's 1533-position model. The record is from RNAcentral.
UACGGAGGAUGCAAGCGUUAUCCGGAUUUAUUGGGUUUAAAGGGUGCGCAGGCGGGAGAUUAAGUCGGCGGUGAAAUUUUGCAGCUCAACUGUAAAAGUGCCUUCGAAACUGGUUUCCUUGAGUGUAGAUGAAGUAGGCGGAAUUUGUGGUGUAGCGGUGAAAUGCUUAGAUAUCACGAGGAACUCCGAUUGCGCAGGCAGCUUACUAAACUACUACUGACGCUCAGGCACGAAGGCGUGGGGAUCAAACAGGAUUAGAUACCCUGGUA